AUUGAACGCUGGCGGCAUGCCUUACACAUGCAAGUCGAACGGUAACAGGUCUUCGGAUGCUGACGAGUGGCGAACGGGUGAGUAAUACAUCGGAACGUGCCUCGUAGUGGGGGAUAACUACUCGAAAGAGUGGCUAAUACCGCAUGAGAUCUACGGAUGAAAGCAGGGGAUCGCAAGACCUUGUGCUACUAGAGCGGCCGAUGGCAGAGUAGGUAGUUGGUGGGAUAAAAGCUUACCAAGCCGACGAUCUGUAGCUGGUCUGAGAGGACGAUCAGCCACACUGGGACUGAGACACGGCCCAGACUCCUACGGGAGGCAGCAGUGGGGAAUUUUGGACAAUGGGCGCAAGCCUGAUCCAGCAAUGCCGCGUGCAGGAUGAAGGCCUUCGGGUUGUAAACUGCUUUUGUACGGAACGAAAAGCCCCGGGUUAAUACCCUGGGGUCAUGACGGUACCGUAAGAAUAAGCACCGGCUAACUACGUGCCAGCCGCCGCCGUAA
RNAcentral lists this ribosomal RNA (498 nucleotides) under uncultured bacterium. RNAcentral's name for it is "partial 16S ribosomal RNA". It matches the Rfam family "Bacterial small subunit ribosomal RNA", at positions 30 to 523 of the family's 1533-position model. The record is from RNAcentral.